UACGUAGGUGGCAAGCGUUGUCCGGAUUUAUUGGGUUUAAAGGGUGCGUAGGUGGCCCUGUAAGUCAGUGGUGAAAUAUCUCAGCUUAACUGAGAGGGUGCCAUUGAUACUGCAGGGCUUGAGUACAGAUGAGGUAGGCGGAAUUGACGGUGUAGCGGUGAAAUGCGUAGAUAUCGGGAGGAACACCUGUGGUGUAGACGGCUUAGGGGACCGCCACUGACGCUGAGGCACGAAAGCGUGGGUAGCAAACAGG
Molecule: ribosomal RNA, 253 nt
Filed under: uncultured bacterium
Lineage: Bacteria
Description: partial 16S ribosomal RNA
Rfam family: Bacterial small subunit ribosomal RNA
Source: RNAcentral